CUUAGCGUCUAUGUUGAUCAUGAAGUCCACUAGAGCUUUCGACGACUUGUACUUGCAGUUUUCACUGAAUACCUCGAAAGCGCUCUUGUCUGAUGAACCGUUAAGGACCUGGACAAUGAAGACAGUGUCUUUUUAAUGGUUGUACGCCACUACACUGACGCCAUCCUUGGCAGCAUCCAGGCAAAGGUUCUCGAGUUCCUCUGAUGCGCCAGGUUCCGAGAGUAGGUCUACACCUCUGGAUACGCUCUCGUAGACAAAGAAGCUCUUUCUCAUGACAUCCAGAGCUCCUUCCAGAGUUUCGUUCGUCAAGGAUUCGAAGUCGAUGGUCCUAUCCUCUGUGGAACCCCAGACUCGAAAUACACUGUUACAAAAUUUAUCACCGAAGACAUAAAAAACUAUGUCGUGAAGAAGCGAGAAGUUCAAACCGACUACCGGAAACUUCCAUCGAUGACAACCUAGAUACUUCAUUAAUAGAGGCACGUUUUCUUGAAUUGUCACUAACAACUAUAUCAAUUUUUAUUAUUAAAAAUUUCAUAAAAGAAAUUUGAAAU
This is a long non-coding RNA of Bombus huntii, 551 nucleotides long. RefSeq lists it as uncharacterized. NCBI's taxonomy places the organism in Eukaryota, Metazoa, Arthropoda, Insecta, Hymenoptera, Apidae. The transcript is spliced from 3 exons. The record is from RefSeq and is a predicted model, not a curated record.